UCCGGAUUUACUGGGUGUAAAGGGAGAGUAGACGGUUAUGAAAGUCUGGAGUGAAAGCCCGGGGCUCAACCCCGGGACUGCUUUGGAAACUGUAAAACUGGAGUGCAGGAGAGGCAGGCGGAAUUCCUAGUGUAGCGGUGAAAUGCGUAGAUAUUAGGAGGAACACCAGUGGCGAAGGCGGCUUGCUGGACGAUGACUGACGUUGAGGCUCGAAAGCGUGGGGAGCAAACAGG
RNAcentral lists this ribosomal RNA (233 nucleotides) under uncultured bacterium. Its description in RNAcentral is "partial 16S ribosomal RNA". It matches the Rfam family "Bacterial small subunit ribosomal RNA", at positions 544 to 776 of the family's 1533-position model. The record is from RNAcentral.